UGGGGAAUUUUGGACAAUGGGGGCAACCCUGAUCCAGCAAUGCCGCGUGUGUGAAGAAGGCCUUCGGGUUGUAAAGCACUUUUGUCAGGGAAGAAACGGCUGGGGCUAAUACCUCUAGCUAAUGACGGUACCUGAAGAAUAAGCACCGGCUAACUACGUGCCAGCAGCCGCGGUAAUACGUAGGGUGCAAGCGUUAAUCGGAAUUACUGGGCGUAAAGCGUGCGCAGGCGGUUUUGCAAGACAGAUGUGAAAUCCCCGGGCUCAACCUGGGAAUGGCAUUUGUGACUGCAAGGCUAGAGUGUGUCAGAGGGGGGUAGAAUUCCACGUGUAGCAGUGAAAUGCGUAGAGAUGUGGAGGAAUACCGAUGGCGAAGGCAGCCCCCUGGGAUAACACUGACGCUCAUGCACGAAAGCGUGGGGAGCAAACAGGAUUAGAUACCCCCGUAGUCCCUGAGCGGGCUGGCAAGGCGCAU
Molecule: ribosomal RNA, 472 nt
Filed under: uncultured bacterium
Lineage: Bacteria
Description: bacterial SSU rRNA
Rfam family: Bacterial small subunit ribosomal RNA
Source: RNAcentral